GCCAAGCACUCCAAAUUCUUCAUCUGUGUCAGAAUAGUGCAAGCCCCGAUCCUUGUGACGACCAGCUCUCUGGCUGUCACGGCUCUUGUUAGGGUACACGCAGCUCCAUCUACAGCAUUUUCCUUCCUGCUGGGUAAGAGCUUUCACGGUCAUGGAGAGGCUCUGCUUUGUGCUGCUCCCAGAGGCGGAUGUUUACCCACCAACACCCUAAUCUCCCACCCCAAGGCCACAGGACAGCUGGGUCUCUGUCACAGUGAGACGGCAGAAAAAGAAGUGAGGCCGAGUGGGGUUUCGUAG
RNAcentral lists this long non-coding RNA (297 nucleotides) under Fukomys damarensis (Damara mole-rat). Its description in RNAcentral is "lncRNA (ENSFDAG00000028648.1)". The record is from RNAcentral. Lineage: Eukaryota; Metazoa; Chordata; Mammalia; Rodentia; Bathyergidae.